Long non-coding RNA from Magallana angulata, 403 nucleotides. RefSeq lists it as uncharacterized. Lineage: Eukaryota; Metazoa; Mollusca; Bivalvia; Ostreida; Ostreidae. The record is from RefSeq and is a predicted model, not a curated record. The transcript is spliced from 3 exons.
CCGUCUGAUAAAAUACAGUAAUGACUCAUUUAUCAAAAUUCAAUUAUCAAAUUAUGGCUAAAUUCAAUAAAUAUUGCUGUUAUCGAGUGAACGUUAUUCACUUUUGCUUUGGCAUCAGGCGUAGUAAAUUUCAGUUCGAGAUAGCCAUGAACACAAAACUGCUUGCAACACUUGUGAUGGUGGUUCUAAUGGUAUCCACAGUUAGUGCAGUCACCUCUGAAGGAUGUGACUAUUCUCGCAAAAUCUGCCAACGAAGAUGCAAAGCGAGAAAUCUCACUUUUCUCGAAAAAAAGGACUGCAGCAAUAGAUGCGAGUCUACCUUUGUGAUCUGCAAGUGGCAAAUCUGAAAUAAACAAAUAACGUGUGUCAAUGUGUUGAAAACUGAAUAAAUCAGUUCAAGCAA